CAUUUCUCCAAGCUACAUUGCUUCUUUCCUUCAUUCUCCACACAUCUGUCCAUACUAUGCAAGGCUUCUCAUUUUUUCUUCUCUCUUCUAUUAAAAAAAUAAAUAAAUAAAUUGAACCUCAAUUUUGAGGGCUCUCAUCGUCUUGCCCCUAGAAUUUUGUGAGGGAGGUAAAUUUCGGAAUGCGUCCUAACAGAUCAGAAAAUUAGAGCUGUUUGUACACUACACCUAUAAGAAGUUCAAUUUCAUGUCUAAGAGAUCGAACCCCUACACUACGACUGUCAGCAAAACUUGUGAUAUCCUCGCUCGUGUCCUUUGCAGAUUGAACUUUACACGGCUUCUUCUCUCUUCUAUUUCUUUUUACCACGGUUGUCUAUAUGUUGUGUAAUUUCAUCACUUUUCGGUGCUGGCCAUCCUAAAGGUUCUGACCUUCUAUUUUUGUUUUUUGCAGAGGUUUGAAGCUUUCAUCAGGGAUCAAUGGAAAUAAUUAUUGAAACAAGGCUUUUUGUAAGUAAAUAUAGAUUUUUGCUAUGAAUGGUAGGUGGUUUGAUUUUACCGUAUGGUUCCAGAUCUGCAAGAUUUUUUAUUUUGGAAAUGAAAUUUAACUCGUAGAAAUUUCGUGGAUUUGGUUCUUCCACACAUGAUUCUUUGCUUAUGAAAGUUCAAUUCUUUUACCGUCUUUUCGUUAAGAAAUGUUUCCAAAUAGUUGUAUUUGAUGGGAACUUUCUUACUAUGAAGUUCUUACCUCAAAAUAAUUGAACUAAUUUAGUAAUUUGUGCAACUCAAGCUGUCUCUCUGACAUUCACCAAUGUGCUGGUGGUUGUUAUUAUACCACAUAUCUACACAUGAUUCUUUGCUUUUGUAUAUUCUUGAGUUUUGACUUCUCUCUUUACGAAUUCACUUUAUGUCAAAAUGGGGUUUACUAAUCCAUUGUCUUUGAUUUAUUUCUCUUUAUCUUUUUCCUGCAAUUUUUUCUUAAAAAUAACUCAUAUGUUGCUUCCCCUCUCUCCCUCGCGAGGCUGACCAUUUUCUGAUGUAAUGUUUGCUAAUAAGCACAAUAUGGAAAAUGCUUUUGCAUCUGUUGGAAGGAGUUAGAGCAUGUUUAUAACGCUUUGUUUAUAAAUAAAUUUUGAUAAUUUUACAGUCACCUUUCAUUUUAAUCAUAUGUAUUAUGUGCUCAUUUCACUUUGCCUACAGUCAACAAAGAGGCAUUUGACAAAGAGACUGGAGAACUUGGAUUAGAAGGUGGAUGAGCAGAGGCAAUCAUCAAAGCUUAUUGUAAAUGAUGUAAACGAAGUGAGAUCUAAUCUUAAUCGGAUUGGGUAUGACAUUAAUUUAAUCCAUGAGAUGGUAUCCCGCUCGCAUACGAAGUGUUAUUGGAUGGUGAGAACACAAGCAUAUAUGAUAGGUACGGUAAAGAGGGACUUAAGCAGCAUGUUGCCAAUGGUGGUGGUACUAAUAGAUAUGGUUGAAUGGAUUUUCAAGAUAUUUUUAGCUUGCGACUUUAUGCCUUCUUUACAUGAAUUGUACAUUUUCAUUUGUACUUUUCAUGUUUACUUAUUAUCGAACAUUUGUUUUGUUUUCUUAUGUAUGAAAUCUCAUGGCUAAAUCCAUUAGGAUUUGGAUUUCUAAUU
This is a long non-coding RNA of Olea europaea var. sylvestris, 1631 nucleotides long. RefSeq lists it as uncharacterized. The record is from RefSeq and is a predicted model, not a curated record. The transcript has 3 exons. NCBI's taxonomy places the organism in Eukaryota, Viridiplantae, Streptophyta, Magnoliopsida, Lamiales, Oleaceae.